GGGCCGCCUCCGCCGAGUCCGGUCCCGACCGGAGCCGGGGACCCAACACGACACCGGGGUGAAUCGGAGCACCAGCCGUGCUCCGUAGGACCGCCUUCCGAGGUCCGAACCCGACAGCUAACCCGGUAGGCGGUCCUUGGAAGGAGUC
RNAcentral lists this small RNA (148 nucleotides) under Streptomyces oceani. Its description in RNAcentral is "c-di-AMP sequence". It matches the Rfam family "c-di-AMP riboswitch aptamer (ydaO/yuaA leader)". Rfam says of the family: This family represents a conserved RNA structure found upstream of the ydaO and yuaA genes in Bacillus subtilis and related genes in other bacteria. The ydaO/yuaA element is thought to act as a genetic "off" switch for the ydaO and yuaA genes in its native state. Lineage: Bacteria; Bacillati; Actinomycetota; Actinomycetes; Kitasatosporales; Streptomycetaceae. The record is from RNAcentral.